RNAcentral lists this ribosomal RNA (207 nucleotides) under uncultured bacterium. RNAcentral's name for it is "partial 16S ribosomal RNA". It matches the Rfam family "Bacterial small subunit ribosomal RNA", at positions 568 to 774 of the family's 1533-position model. The record is from RNAcentral.
CAUGUAGGCUGUAUGGCAAGUUGGAGGUGAAAUCCCACGGCUCAACCGUGGAACUGCCUUCAAAACUACCAAACUAGAGUGCGAGAGAGGAUAGCGGAAUUCCAGGUGUAGGAGUGAAAUCCGUAGAUAUCUGGAAGAACAUCAGUGGCGAAGGCGGCUAUCUGGCUCGUAACUGACGCUGAGAUGCGAAAGCGUGGGUAGCAAACA